Gasterosteus aculeatus aculeatus (three-spined stickleback) is the source of this 1572-nucleotide long non-coding RNA. RefSeq lists it as uncharacterized. The record is from RefSeq and is a predicted model, not a curated record. Lineage: Eukaryota; Metazoa; Chordata; Actinopteri; Perciformes; Gasterosteidae.
CUAUGGCUCAGUGCGGCUCCGGCUGUGCGCGGCGGCGCAGCGCGUCGAGCUCCGCGGCUUCAGGUCACAGCUUCAUCAUUGCGCCGGACCACAAGGACGAAAGCGGCUACUUUGCUGCUCAUCGGAACUAAUCCCACCGAUCUAUCGCCUUGAUUGGACAGGAUUUACUCCAGGAUUCUUUUGGAGACUUUAACGCGAUUAAACGCUAUUUUCUUUUACAGCCGUGGCACCACUGGAGGAGUUCAUGUUGUUACAAACGUCGGGUGAAACUUUGUGAUGGAUUCAACGCGCCGGGCUGUGCAUCGACCUGUGGGAUAUGAGGAAAUACUGUCUCCGACACGGGAUGAACAGUGUCCAUUUGUCCCUCUGCGCUACAAGCAGCUGGUCGGACAGGAGCGUCUCUUGCGAUGCGCGCGGCCAGUGUCACAAAUAAUCCACACCAUGAUGCGGUUUUUGGAGAUCGAUAUUCGUUGAGCUGGAUUUUGGCAACUGGGGAAAAAGGAAUAUUCCGGAAUAUAAUUUGAAAGUGCUCAACAGAUGACCAGCAGUUCGGGCGGUGACUUGGCGCAUCCCUUCAUCCAGCAGUGAAGGAAUCCCAUUUCAUGGAAUGAGAGGCCAAUCUUUAAUUGCUUUCCAGGGAAUUUCUGAUGAUCUCAGGUGAGCGCAGAAAACAGCCUGACUAAUGGAAACAUGAUCUCAAGAGAUUCCUUCAGGAUCAUACUUAAUCCUGGUUUGGACUGUGGACAUAGCAUCGCCUGCAGCAGAUGUUUGCUCCUGGCAUGGCUGCAAACUGCAUGAGCUCCAUCACCGACAAUCCAGUUCUCGGGAUGCAUCGCCAGCAGCUUGGACACGGAGAAGCUGUGACACAAACUCAGCAGGACAGUGGAGUGUAUUCUGCUGCUCGGAUAUUAUGGAACAGACCGGUCAACCUCGUCUGGAGAGGCACUCGAUAGGAAAAUCAGCUCUAUGAGGCUACGAUUACCGCGGUUACCACAAUGGAUCUACACAUUGUUUGACUUUUUCUAAAUUGAACCUGGAUUAAUAUUUCCCUGUAUAUACAUCUGCUUUUGAUAUUCAGUGUUUAUUCCCGCUGUUGCUCAUUCCCUGCACUUAUAUACUGUGUUAUUCUGGAUACAGUAUCAACAAAUGCUGGAACAGUAAACGGAAAAUAAUCAGCUGUUAUUUCCUCUUUAGGUCUAUUAUUUUUACAGGAGGAAGGCAGCACUUACACCAAUCUCGUAAGGAGCAAACUAAAUGUUUUCCUGUUGAAUUAAUUAACACACAUAGGAAUUGUCACAGGGAUUACUCAAUUAAUAAACAUUCAACAUCUUCCAAUUAAGAAAAGAUAAUCCUUUAUUAGUCCAGCAGCAGGGAAAUUACAACAAUUGCCUUCACAAUGAAGCCAUUGAACCAAAGGUGCUUAUGAAUACAACUAUUGACAACUCUUUGGGAGUCUUGUUCAUUCUGGUUGAGGAAUCUUUUCCAACUCUUUGAUCUGAUAAAGACGUAUUGCUUCAUCGGACUUGUCUGUGUAACCCUCGAACAGAAAUAAAAAAGAAAAGGUGUAAUCAA